This 429-nucleotide ribosomal RNA is filed under the name Chloroflexota bacterium. RNAcentral describes it as "Chloroflexi bacterium partial 16S ribosomal RNA". It matches the Rfam family "Bacterial small subunit ribosomal RNA", at positions 355 to 776 of the family's 1533-position model. Lineage: Bacteria; Bacillati; Chloroflexota. The record is from RNAcentral.
UGGGGAAUAUUGCACAAUGGGCGCAAGCCUGAUGCAGCCAUGCCGCGUGUAUGAAGAAGGCCUUCGGGUUGUAAAGUACUUUCAGCGGGGAGGAAGGGAGUAAAGUUAAUACCUUUGCUCAUUGACGUUACCCGCAGAAGAAGCACCGGCUAACUCCGUGCCAGCAGCCGCGGUAAUACGGAGGGUGCAAGCGUUAAUCGGAAUUACUGGGCGUAAAGCGCACGCAGGCGGUUUGUUAAGUCAGAUGUGAAAUCCCCGGGCUCAACCUGGGAACUGCAUCUGAUACUGGCAAGCUUGAGUCUCGUAGAGGGGGGUUGAAUUCCAGGUGUAGCGGUGAAAUGCGUAGAGAUCUGGAGGAAUACCGGUGGCGAAGGCGGCCCCCUGGACGAAGACUGACGCUCAGGUGCGAAAGCGUGGGGAGCAAACAGG